RNAcentral lists this ribosomal RNA (273 nucleotides) under uncultured bacterium. RNAcentral describes it as "partial 16S ribosomal RNA". It matches the Rfam family "Bacterial small subunit ribosomal RNA", at positions 29 to 327 of the family's 1533-position model. The record is from RNAcentral.
AGCGAACGCUGGCGGCAGGCUUAACACAUGCAAGUCGAACGGGCGUAGCAAUACGUCAGUGGCAGACGGGUGAGUAACGCGUGGGAACGUACCUUUUGGUUCGGAACAACACAGGGAAACUUGUGCUAAUACCGGAUAAGCCCUUACGGGGAAAGAUUUAUCGCCGAAAGAUCGGCCCGCGUCUGAUUAGCUUGUUGGUGAGGUAAUGGCUCACCAAGGCGACGAUCAGUAGCUGGUCUGAGAGGAUGAUCAGCCACAUUGGGAGUGAGACAC